UGACUACGCCCUGGUGUCCACGGCUAGAAUGACCAAUACCUCGUUUGCCCUACCACACUUUCCUACCUUGCACGUGCGUACAACGCGUCACUCUCUCAUUGGACAAUAAAUCCUUCCUACGAUACCCGACGAAAACACCCGAAUACCGUACCUAUAGGACAAUUAUUUUCCGCUAUUCUCCGAAACGCGGAAAAUAUGAAAUAACCGGAAUGUAGUGACGGGAUUAUAGGGUGCUUUGUACCAAUCACGAUCAUUUGAUUAGAAAGGACGGGCACUCUCUCUCAAAUAUAAAUAGGGCCUACUUUGAAGUUUGUUAGAUUACAUGAGAAUACAAUACAAUAUUCAUCACUUGCCCCGGAAAGUGCCGACAGUCUCCGACUGAUCUGGCCUAUAACAUCCCAACGCCGACAGAUCAGUGAGGCGAAACCCGCAUGGGUGGAGUCACCCGUCAACCAACCAACCAAUUUAUACUUCCUUUUUCUGGCCGAGUCCCGAAUGAAGAAGGCUCGUUUGGCAGACGGGCAUAAAAAGCCCUAAGGUUUUCAAAACUGUUAUGUAAAUAUCAUCAACAAACACCUAUGUGAGCGGCACAGGCCGAUGUUGUCUCUACCACUGUUCCAUCGCUCAGCAGACCUAGAGGUGUGGACAUCACAGUGUGGUGAAGACGUGAUGAGCGGACGAGUGCAGAUAAACCUGAAGAUUUUCAAAACAAUGGUGUGAAAUCAUCAACAAUAAACCAUGCCAAAGGGUGACAGUAAAGGGAGUAAAGGGAAGGGACCGGCCUGUAGACCUACAGCCCGCCGACCCACAGCCCGCCAUCACAACCCUGAAUCAGAAGAUGACACUCCUGAGCAAUCACGGCCGAGCAGGAUGAUCCGACCAAGCACUGCUAGUCAGGAGGAAAACAUUCGUAAGCACCAUGCAGAUAUGGUACGUGAAUUAAGUGAAAUGUUUUCACUUAAAUCAAAACCAGGGCAUGUUAUUUGCUCCAGAGAUGGUCUGUCGAACCUGGUAACGGAUAAUGUAAAAGAUAUGUUUGAUCUGUGCAGAGCCUUAAUGAAGGAAGGAAAAAUCAUGUAUGGAGAGUACAGUAAACUACGUGAAAUUCUUGUUGAGUGUGGUGUGGAGGCAGGAGAGACCAUUGACAAGUAUACAAAGAUGAUACGUGGGGAAAGUGAAGGUAAUGUUUAUUGUAUGUUAUUAUAUAUUCAAUGAUACUGUCUUGAAAUGAAUAUAAUAUUGGGUUCCAGAUUUUGUCUUGUUUCAUGGUAAAUAAUUUUUAUUUUACUUUCCAGAAGAAUUUACCCCAUCCAACAAAAGGUUAUUACCCUUAUUAUUUUCAAAUCACCCAUUUUCUGUGCUCCGUCCGUCGGUCCUUUAACAAUUCUUGUUAGUGCUAUUUCUC
RNAcentral lists this unclassified non-coding RNA (1405 nucleotides) under Mizuhopecten yessoensis (Yesso scallop). Its description in RNAcentral is "uncharacterized LOC110463185, transcript variant X1". The record is from RNAcentral. Lineage: Eukaryota; Metazoa; Mollusca; Bivalvia; Pectinida; Pectinidae.